GAAGGAAGAAACAGAAAGGAUAGAGGAACAAAGAGAUCAUUGCAAGUCCAGGAAUUCAUUUUAAGAACUGAAUGAUAUGAUUGAUGGGCAGUGAAUUUGUGCAUAUAAUCAGUGGGGCUGAGGAUAAAAGUGCAACUUGGGAGAACAAAACUGGAGAAUACCUACUGGGGCCCACACAAUGGGAAACAGUGAGAAAGAUUAGAAUAAACUUUUGAUAGAA
Molecule: non-coding RNA, 220 nt
Organism: Monodelphis domestica (gray short-tailed opossum)
Lineage: Eukaryota; Metazoa; Chordata; Mammalia; Didelphimorphia; Didelphidae
Source: RefSeq, a predicted model, not a curated record